This 358-nucleotide RNase P RNA is filed under the name Pseudodesulfovibrio sp. JC047. Its description in RNAcentral is "Bacterial RNase P class A". It matches the Rfam family "Bacterial RNase P class A". From Rfam's summary of the family: Ribonuclease P (RNase P) is a ubiquitous endoribonuclease, found in archaea, bacteria and eukarya as well as chloroplasts and mitochondria. Its best characterised activity is the generation of mature 5'-ends of tRNAs by cleaving the 5'-leader elements of precursor-tRNAs. Lineage: Bacteria; Pseudomonadati; Thermodesulfobacteriota; Desulfovibrionia; Desulfovibrionales; Desulfovibrionaceae. The record is from Rfam by way of RNAcentral.
GGAGUCGGACAGGGUAUCGCCGCGGUCUUUGAUCGGGGAGGAAAGUCCGGGCUUCACAGGGUAGGACGCUGGGUAACUCCCAGGGGGAGCGAUCCCCGUCACGUGCAACAGAAAGUAGACCGCCUCCGGCAUUGCCGGCGGUAAGGGUGAAACGGUGGGGUAAGAGCCUACCGGCUGUCGUGGUGACACGGCAGGCCAGGUGUACUCCGUCCGAAGCAAAACCAAAUAGGACAGCGCUGUAGAUCGACCCGAUCGAGCUGUCGGGUAGGUUGCUCGAACCGGCUGGUAACAGUCGGUCUAGAUGAAUGAUACUCACCCCGAAAGGGGGACAAAACCCGGCUUAUGACCGGCUCCAACU